Molecule: long non-coding RNA, 689 nt
Filed under: Mytilus galloprovincialis (Mediterranean mussel)
Lineage: Eukaryota; Metazoa; Mollusca; Bivalvia; Mytilida; Mytilidae
Source: RNAcentral
GUAAACUGUGUAAUGUGAAGUGCACGACCUUAAAAAUACCACACAAUACCAGUCGAGAGAAAUAUAAAUUUCAUGAGCUUCGGGGAGAAGGAACUUCAGAAGCUAUUUUUCGCUUUCUAACCUAGCAUGCUAUAUUUGUAAAGAAUAUCAAUAAUAAUGGUUUAAUAUUAAAACUAUUAGAUUCGGACCAAAAACCAGUGUUCUUUGGUUACCAAUACGUUAGAAAACAGUCGCAUUUAAUUAAAUGCACCAAAGAUAAAAAAAAAAAAAAAAAAGAAAGAAGAGGGACGAAAAAUACCAGAGAGACAGUCAAACUUAUAGAUCGAAAAUAAAGUGAUAAUGGCAUGGCUAAAAAAAAAAGACAAAAAAUAGUACACAAGACACAACAUAGAAAAAUAAAGACUAAGCAGCAUGAUAUCAAGUGCUCCGGAAGAGUAAGCAGAUCCUGCUCCAUGUGUGGCAACCGUAGUGUUGUUCCGUGGCGAAUAAAUAGGGAUUGAAUAGGCAUAUGCGUGUAUCCGUAUGCAUAUAUGCCUCGGCGGAGGAGAAAUAGGUAUGAUAAUCAUUAAAUAAAAGCUAUAAGUAAACUUGAAAAAUACACUGCUUAUCAACAAAUCAAAUCCAGUUUACUCACUACGGUAUAAGCAGUAUACAAUGCACUGCAUAAACUCAUGUACACCAGUGAAGCC